Hyaena hyaena (striped hyena) is the source of this 1266-nucleotide RNA transcript. It is a transcript of the gene named testis expressed 46, with no coding region annotated. The transcript is spliced from 4 exons. Lineage: Eukaryota; Metazoa; Chordata; Mammalia; Carnivora; Hyaenidae. The record is from RefSeq and is a predicted model, not a curated record.
UCAGAGGAGGGGGCAGCCACAGCUCCUGUCAUGGAGGGUAACUGUCCUAGAGGGGUCACCAAGGCAGGGUCUUGGGGCCUGGGUGCCUCCAAGCCAUAAUGCUGGGGGAACUAAUGUCUCUUUUAAGGAAUCUCCAUGGGAUACUUGCUUCCUCGGGCACCAUAGGAACAUUGGUGGCUUGGCUGAUCAGCUAUAAGCCAGUCUUGUUUGGGUUCCUAUUCCUUCUGCUGUUGCUUAGCAACUGGUUGGUCAAGCAUGAAGUCCAAGUCAAGCCUGCCCCACCAGAGCCCCAGAAGGAAGAGGCAGAGAAACCUAAGCCUCCUGAAGCCAAACCCAACGGCUGCAUCAUGAACACAAAGGAAGUUGAGAGGCUGCAUGCCUGCUUUGCCCUCCAGGACAAGGUCCUUGAACGGCUCAUGUUCAGCGAAAUGAAGCUGAAGGCCUUAGAAAAUCAGAUGUUCGCUGUAUGGAACAGAAUGAGUCACCACAGGAGGUCAGGCCGGAAGCGGACUUUUCCCAUGAGGAAACACAGACUAAGGAGGCAUGACUCCAUCUUCUCCACCAUCUCUGAUUGUACUUCUUCUAAUUCCCCUUCAUGAGAGCAGGAUCUCUGGACCCUAACUGCCUGGCUUUAAACCCCAGCUCUAUCAACUGCCAGCUGUGUGAUCUUGGACAAUUCUAAGUUGUUUAUCCUUGCUGUACCUCAGUCUGCUCAACUGGAAAAUGGGGGGAGUAGCACUACCAACCUGAUUGCUUGCUGUGAGGAUUCAAUUUGGACAAUGUUCAACAGCCUCUAGCAGCUGCCGAGGCCAAUGCCCAUGGCACCAACCUGUCGCAGUACUGAACUUAUCAUCACCCUUGCCCCUGGCCACCAUACCCAGCUAGAGGAGACCUCCCGGUGACUCACCCUCCGACAAUGGCUUAGACAUUGCUCCUAGUUGGCCACAACCACCAACAGCUGUGUCUCGGGCCUCCACAACCGUGUCCCCAUCCCUUGCUCAGAUGGGGUUAAGGCCCAUGGGCAGAAUAUUGAGCAGUUCACUUUAUAUCCCGGGACUGUUUUAUGAUUUGGAUAUAGGUCUUUGCGUCUGGCAUGGACUCCAUGGCCGGAUGGCUCAGGCCUCCACAACAGGCUCUGGACUGACAUUCUAGGCCCCCCUUCCUUCCACAGUGCCUCCCCUGGAGUUGCCAACAACCACUGGACAUCCCAUUACAAGACCAGCUCAUUUCUACCCCUGUUGUUCAUGCCACUCCAGUUGAUUUCUA